GCCCACCCGGCACGCACGGCGCGCUCGGAGUCUGCGCUGCGCACGGCCCGCGGCGUUUGCUCUCGUGUGACGAGGACAGCUGGAAGCACUGAGAGCUCGCUUCACUUCACAGGCAGCUUUCCUUGUAACGUAAAUCAGAACAGGGAUGUGGCCUCCUCACUCCUGCCAGUAUCAGCCCUUCCACCUCUGUUGGAGGAGAUCAGCACUGCAUUGCUGAGGAAAUGGCAGCGACCUCUCCUGAGGCAGUCGCCAGGCAAGACAAUAGUGAUUCUCCUCAGGACCCGCUCCACAGCCUUCUUGGCUUCUACACCUGGAACUUGGCUCCAGCCCCCCAGGGCUCUAGCAGUGAGCUACUAAGUGUGACCCAGGAGGAGACUUUUUUUUUGUCUCUUUCUCUGUGAGAGACUGGCACCAGAUCACCUCCUGAGUAGAGCAGACCUUCCAAAGGACGCCCUGCCAACAACGAUGGACAGCUGGAGACGAUCAAGUGUGUAGAAGGCACCUGAGAUGCUUAGGAAACUCUGCAGUUGCACGCUGCACACCAGGGCAGAGCCCAGCGACUGCAGUCACGAGCUCUGCACGAAAGGUGUGUGUGGGGUGUGUGUGCACACUUUCAAUGCAUGGUGCUUUUUUCCUGCUUAUGAAUCUCUAGACAUCAUCUUUUAAAAUGUCUUGUUUAUAGAGUCAACAAUUUCUGUCUAAUGAGAUGGACUAAAAGGACCUUUUAAAUCACUCACAGACUUACAAGGAAAAUGACAACGUGUCCCAAAUAAAAAAUUGAGCAGCAAUUAUUUCUAAAAUCUUUUAAAUGUUCU
This is a non-coding RNA of Microcebus murinus (gray mouse lemur), 815 nucleotides long. The record is from RefSeq and is a predicted model, not a curated record. Lineage: Eukaryota; Metazoa; Chordata; Mammalia; Primates; Cheirogaleidae.